This is a long non-coding RNA of Daphnia pulex (common water flea), 444 nucleotides long. RefSeq lists it as uncharacterized. Lineage: Eukaryota; Metazoa; Arthropoda; Branchiopoda; Diplostraca; Daphniidae. The transcript is spliced from 3 exons. The record is from RefSeq and is a predicted model, not a curated record.
UUUCAUCUUCUCGAGAGAAGAUUGGAUAACUAAUUGGUGGUUUCAUGUGUUCUAAACUCCAGGUUUCGAAAUUUGAAUGGCAGACUUAAUGAGAAGUCAUGUCCUUUCAAGAAAGUCAACAAGGUCCCUUGUUUACUAACCUGUUGGCUGGUGGCUGCUACCCUUGAAUCUCCCUUUUUACUUUCUUAAGCGGGGCAUCUUUAUUUGAGGGUAAUCCUUCGCUACUUGUCAUGGACUUCAUCCACUGGUGAAAACCGACGAGAAAAUGCUGUAAUCCAAGACUGAUAAAUUGUGUAGUUAGCUAAAUUGCAAGUGCAUACCUGGGCUCCCUUCUUUUCUGUGGCCCCGUUUCCCUAACUAACCACUAACCAACGCCCGCCGGUGGUCACUCACCCGCUGUGAAACCAGGAGGAGGGGAGGGCUCUGGUCGAACGGGGACUUGGA